CACGUAGGCACCAAGCGUUGUCCGGAUUUAUUGGGCGUAAAGAGCUCGUAGGCGGUUCGGUAAGUCGGGUGUGAAAACUCUGGGCUCAACCCAGAGCCGCCACCCGAUACUGCUGUGACUUGAGUUCGGGAGAGGAGCGUGGAAUUCCCAGUGUAGAGGUGAAAUUCGUAGAUAUUGGGAAGAACACCGGUGGCGAAGGCGGCGCUCUGGACCGAGACUGACGCUGAGGCGCGAAAGCGUGGGGAGCAAACAGGG
This 255-nucleotide ribosomal RNA is filed under the name uncultured bacterium. Its description in RNAcentral is "partial 16S ribosomal RNA". It matches the Rfam family "Bacterial small subunit ribosomal RNA", at positions 524 to 777 of the family's 1533-position model. The record is from RNAcentral.